This 496-nucleotide ribosomal RNA is filed under the name uncultured Pseudomonas sp. RNAcentral describes it as "bacterial SSU rRNA". It matches the Rfam family "Bacterial small subunit ribosomal RNA", at positions 104 to 596 of the family's 1533-position model. Lineage: Bacteria; Pseudomonadati; Pseudomonadota; Gammaproteobacteria; Pseudomonadales; Pseudomonadaceae. The record is from RNAcentral.
GGGUGAGUAGUGCCUAGGAAUCUGCCUGGUAGUGGGGGACAACGUUUCGAAAGGAACGCUAAUACCGCAUACGUCCUACGGGAGAAAGUGGGGGAUCUUCGGACCUCACGCUAUCAGAUGAGCCUAGGUCGGAUUAGCUAGUUGGUGAGGUAAUGGCUCACCAAGGCGACGAUCCGUAACUGGUCUGAGAGGAUGAUCAGUCACACUGGAACUGAGACACGGUCCAGACUCCUACGGGAGGCAGCAGUGGGGAAUAUUGGACAAUGGGCGAAAGCCUGAUCCAGCCAUGCCGCGUGUGUGAAGAAGGUCUUCGGAUUGUAAAGCACUUUAAGUUGGGAGGAAGGGUUGUAGGUUAAUACCCUGCAAUUUUGACGUUACCAACAGAAUAAGCACCGGCUAACUUCGUGCCAGCAGCCGCGGUAAUACGAAGGGUGCAAGCGUUAAUCGGAAUUACUGGGCGUAAAGCGCGCGUAGGUGGUUCAGCAAGUUGGAUGUG